UUUGGGAGAAAAAUAAAAAUUCUCAGUUCUGCAGCAGCUGCUGUAUCUGAGGUGAUCUCCAGUAAAGGUCUCCUUCCGUCCCCAGUACUAAAGGGAAAGUGCUCAGUGCUGAAAAAGGCUCCAGUCCAACAAGCAACACUGGGAAUUGUGCAUCAUCUGCAGUAUCCAUUUGUCACCCUCCUUGAAGUCUUGACAUGCUCUCCAGGGGUCCUGCAAUGGCUCUUGAAGCCACCAAGGGUCAAGGGAACCCCUCUGAGGUCCGUGGAAGAUGCACAGCUGAUCCACACAUCCUCACGAAGCAGCAGGAUCCCUGCACGUGCCAUAGCCUGUCCUGGUCCCUGGGAGGGUUGGGACCACAGCUCCAUCCUGACAGUGCUGCUGCUGCUGCUGCUGCCUUCAGGGGUUGUUCCUGAUUCCUGUGCCCCAGCUGGGCUCAGGUAUGCUGUUGUGUACCUACAUCUCCUCGCAAUAACAGAGCAAUAAAACUGCAAGAUGCCUACAAUCUGUUUGUAAUCUCCAGAAUAUCACCUCCUGCAUCCUGUGACUAAAGGAUUUAAAUACUUCUGCACUCAGAGCAGCUAAAACUUUCCUGAAGCUCAAUUGCCAAGUGAGCAGUUUGAGUUUUGCAGAGGCUGUAAAGCCUUUUUUCCCCAACAAUGCAGCUUUUGUCCCUUUCUUUUGUUUGUUUUGUUUUAUUUGUUUUGGUUUUGGUUUUUCCCUUUUGUUCACUUCUCUAUCCAGGGAGCCUUUUGUUCAAAGCUCAUCUCAAGGAUUUCCAGAGCCCUAGGCUACUCCAGGUUACAGCUAUCCUGGAGGCUCUAGAUGAAAUGCUUUGCAGCUAAAUUGUGAACAGCACCUGACUUGUUCUGUGUUACAGAUGGAGAGACACUGUUAAAUUAGGUAUGUGUUUUCCAGUCCAUCCAGGUGUCUUUUCCAGCUGCAGCACUCUUAAUCUGAGGUGGGAAGCUCGUAUGAGCUGUGAAUACAUUUAUUACAGAACAAUAGUAAUGGGAUAUGUAGAAUAUGCAGACAAUAAAAAGAUGGACACUUUCUAACUGCUGUUGGCA
Molecule: long non-coding RNA, 1067 nt
Filed under: Parus major (Great Tit)
Lineage: Eukaryota; Metazoa; Chordata; Aves; Passeriformes; Paridae
Description: lncRNA (ENSPMJG00000009681.1)
Source: RNAcentral